Molecule: long non-coding RNA, 5214 nt
Filed under: Fragaria vesca (wild strawberry)
Lineage: Eukaryota; Viridiplantae; Streptophyta; Magnoliopsida; Rosales; Rosaceae
Description: long non-coding RNA (FVES_LNC000556)
Source: RNAcentral
UUGUGUUUUGGCUCGUUGAUAUGAUUUGGAAGUUAGGAUUCAGCAAGCAAAUCCAAGUCCAGAAAGGAAAGAGGUUUUUUCUAUAAGUUCUAGGAAAGUAAUCUUUCAAGAUCUGUUAGGAUUUUGUCUACUAGGUUUAGGAGUCCUAAAACCUUAUUGUAUCAGCAGCCCCUAUUCACUAGAAAUAGGAGCUGCAGGGGGUUUUCUAAGGUUAAGAUAGAGAGCACAGAAAACCGAGAGCUAAGGGUGAUAGAGAGAUCUAGCAGGGAGUUGGGGAUUAGCAUAGGGAUUUCAAUAAGUACUUGUAAUCAGGUUGUUAUUCUCCAUAGUGCUAGUGAUCUCUCAAGAGAGAUCACAUAAGUGGACGUAGGCCAGGGUUUUUGGCUGAACCACUAUAAAAUUGUGUGUUCUGUGUUUCUAUCUUCAAGUUCAUCUAUCUACUUUGCUUAAGUCGUAAAGUACCAGUAAAGACCAGAAAAGAUCCUAGGGCGCUAACCACAAUAAGUGGUAUCAGAGCUUCGGCUCUGGUACUUUGCGAUGGUAGACAGCAAAGGCAUGGUCGAAGCAGAAGAUGUGAAAUCGUUCAUUAAACCCUUAAAUGGCAAGGAUGACUUCACGCUUGGCGGAGGAGGAUGAAGAGUGUCCUGAUUCUACAAGAUCUGUACGAGGCUGUUCUCGGGAUAGAGAAUAAGGCAGUUGAUAUGGCAGAUAAGGUUUGGCAGAAGAUGGACAAGAAGGCAAGGAGCACAAUAGAGUUGCAUCUUGCAGAUCAUGUACUGGGUCGUGUAUUGGAUAGUGGAGGUGACAAUAUGAGCAGCAAAGAGACCUGGGAUUAUCUUGAGAAGGUUUAUGCGGGUAAGGGUCCUAUUGGUGAGAAUAUGGACAGCAACAAGACAUUGGACAAUGUCAAGGAGGCUGACGCAGAUAAAUUCUUCUUGAAGAAAAACUCUAUAGUCUUCGGAUGGAAGAAGGCAGGGAUCUGCAGGAACAUCUGAAUAAAUUUCAGAUUUGUGUUGCCAAUUUAUCAGAGGUGGAUGUGCAAUAUGAAGAAGAGGAUAAAGGACUUAUGCUGCUAACAUCUUUACCAGCUUCAUACCAGCAGUUCAUCACCACACUCGUUUCCGGUAAGGAUUCUCUCAAGUACGAUGAGAGUACCGAAGCUAUUCAAUCUUAUAUUAAGACGAGUAGCGAGACCGAGAGCUCUCAAGGAGGCCUUCAAGUCAAGGGCAAGGAGACAAGUCAGUUGACCAGUAAAAAGGAUAAAUCUAGUAACAAGGGUACAACAAAAUCCAAGAAGAAGUACAAGGAAGGUUGCUUCAAAUGUGAUGCUGCAGACCACUUGAAAAGAAACUACAAAGAAGGGAGGAUGGAAGCACAGGUGACGGCAAGGAGUUCAAGUACAGCCAACAUAGUCAUCAGAAAAGAUGAAGAUGAUUGUGAACUUCUUGUGGUAACGUCCAGCUCCAACGCUUUCAGAGAUUGGAUUUUGGAUACCGGUUGUACAUUCCACAUGUGUGCAAUCCGAGAAUGGUUUGACACAUUUGAGGAGAGUAGCAGCGGAGAAGUUUUCCGGGGAGAUGACUCACAGUGUAGGAUCCUAGGUAUUGGAUCAGUGAAAAUCAGAAUGCAUGACAGAGUUGUUAGAAAGCUGGAGAAUGUCAGAUAUAUUCCUAAGUUAAGGAAGAACUUGAUAUCUUUGGGUACUUUGGACAAGGCCGGUCAUAGGUAUAGCUCUAAAGAAGGAAGACUAAAAGUUAUCAAGGGAUCACUUGUUGUGAUGAAGGGCGACAUUCAACCUAACAACGUGUACAAGCUUAAAGGGACUACCAUAAUAGGUGGAGUUGCAAUGUCUACUGAGGUAAAUGACAAGACUGAGCAAUGGCAGCAAGGCCUACGGCGCAUGAGUACAAAGAGGAAUGCAGGAACUCUACGAAGGAAAGUAAGGCAGAAGGUGUUGGUGUUUGCAAACUGAACUUCUGCAAGGAUGGUACUCUUGGGAAGCAGAAGGUGGCAUUCAAGUUGGUAGAUUGUGAGAACAAAAGCAAACGAUUGCUGGAUUAUAUUCACUCAGAAGUAUGGCGCGCAAAUCAAGUAAGGCGUAUGGGAGGCUUCAAGUACCUUGUUACUUUUCUAGAUGAUUUUUCAAGGAAGAUUUGGGCCUACUUUAUGAAGGAGAAAUCCGAGGUUCUCUUCAAGGUCAAGAAAGGGAAAAGCAAAGUAGGAAAUCUAGAAGGCAGAAAAAUCAAGUAUUUGAGAAGCAACGGUGGCAGUGAAUAUAGAAUGAAAGGGUUCUUACGGUUUUACAAGGAUGAAAUCACAAGGUGCAUCACGGUGAAAGAUAAUCUCCAGGAAAACGGGGCUGCUAGAAGGAUGAAGAAAACUUUUUUUGAGAAAGAAAGAGGCAUGCCGCUGCAUGCUGGGUUACCAGACACAUUUUGGAAAGAAGCAGUUAACCAUGCGUGUUAUUUGGUUAAUCGGUCACCAUCAAAGGUCUUGGACUUCAAGUGUGCAGAGGAGAUAUGGUCAAGAGAACCAGCUGGGUAUUCUAACUUAAGGAUGUUUGGUAGCAGUGCGUAUGCUCAUAUUUCGAGCAAUGAGCAAACCAAACUCAAGCCAAAUUUUCUAGGUGUUGAGAAAGGAGUAAAGGGCUACAAGUUAUGGAAUAUUGUCAGCAAGAAAAGGGUUCUAAGUAGAUAUGUUAUUGAUGAUAAGACUAUGCCGUUUAAUGAAGUAAAGACAAGUGAGGUGAAGACGAAGACUGAUGUUGGUGUUGUAGAUGAAGCAACAGAAGUUCCUCUAACCAAAGAGAUCAUGGAAGAGACUCCAGCUCAGGUGGAGCAAAUUGAGCAGGUGGAGCAAAUUGAGCAGGUGGAGCAUGAUAAAGGGGUUAUCGAGAUAGAAGUCUUAGAGCGGCAACAACAGUCACUAAUACAAGCUCAGGUGGAGCAAUUAGCACUGCGAACCUACGACUCAGUUCGUCAGUCGCUUGAGCAGGAGUUCCAGAGAAGCAUAGCAUUGGACAAGUAUGCUCUAAGUUUCAGUCCAGGAGAUCCAACCACGUAUCAGGAAGCUAUAGCAAAAAUAUAUACGGGAAAGUUGGAUGGGAGCUAUGUUAGAACAGAAGAAGAAGUCCAUACCAAAGGACUUGGUUCAGGAGUCGGUUCCUAAACCCAAAGAAGGAAAUCUGGUUGGCUGUAAAUGGGUUUAUAGGAAAAGGGAAGAAAUGCAUGAUAAGGAAGUCAUGAGUUGCAAAGCUCGGGUAUUGGCUAAGGAGUAUGCGUAUAAAGAAAAGGUCAAUUAUGACAAAAUCUCACCAGCAGAUAGAUGCGCUUAUUAUCAUGUGUUCAAGGAUAGCAUGAUUUUACUAUCAGGUGAUGUGUUAACUACAUGUCAGGAUGUGUCUAGAAUUCCAAAGUUAAAGACACAACUAAGGAGGGAAUUCGACAUGAAGGGUCUAGAAGCUGCACAACAGAUCCUAGAAGUGAAGGUAAGGAGGGACAGAGAAGCCAGAAAAUUAUGGCUGUUGACUGAACCCAUGUCUACUCCACCAGUAGCACACUUUCAGUUUAGUGUGCAGGGGGGAUCAUCUACAGUUGAGUUAGAUGAGAUGAUGCAUGUGUCUUAUGCAAGAGUAGUGGGAUGUCUUAUGGCUAGAAUCUUCAAAAGACCAGGUUUAACUCAAGGAUUGAGCAUUGUGUCAAAGUAUGUGGUGAAUCCGGGUAGACGAUACUGGCAAGCAGCAACGUGGAUUCUGUAUUACUUGAGAAACACAAAGGAACAUGAAUUUCUGUUUGAAAGACAACAAGAACAAGCAUGCAUUGCUGGUCAUGAGAGGUCAGAUUUGGCAGGAGACUUAGACAAAGGAAGAUCUGCAACAAGUAAUGUAUUUACUUGCAGCAAAGGUUCAGGAAGUUGUAGAACAACUAUGGAAUCAGCUGAGAUAUUGUCUACCACUGAAGUAGAUUGCAUGGCAGUAACAGAAGCUUCCGCAGAGGCGUUAUGGCUUAAUGGGUUAACGAGUGAGUUUGAGAUUCAACAAAAAACUGUGGUGAAGAAUGGUGUCAUCAAUUUGACAAGGAAUCAAGUGUUUCAAGCAGAGACGAAGCAUGUUGAUGUUCGUGGUCAUCGCAGCAAAGGUUGGGUCAGCUCAGGGAAGAUAACAACUGAGGAAGAAGCACAUUCAAGGGAGAAUGUUUCAGAUUGUUUUACCAGGACCAUUGCCAUAGAGAAGUUCAAGCAUUGCUUGGACUUCCUCAGUGUCACAGCUUGCUGAGUUGUGGUGGAGCACCUCCUCACUUGAGGUGCGUUAAGGCAAGAGGAGUCUUGCCAAGGUGAAGGCUCUUGGAGGUUUGUUCAGGGUUACUUCAAGAAGAUUCAAGAUAUCCUGAAGGGUGCAACAAUCAUUUGGUAUCAACUCACCAAGGUGGAGAUUGUUGUGUUUUGGCUCGUUGAUAUGAUUUGGAAGUUAGGAUUCAGCAAGCAAAUCCAAGUCCAGAAAGGAAAGAGGUUUUUUCUAUAAGUUCUAGGAAAGUAAUCUUUCAAGAUCUGUUAGGAUUUUGUCUACUAGGUUUAGGAGUCCUAAAACCUUAUUGUAUCAGCAGCCCCUAUUCACUAGAAAUAGGAGCUGCAGGGGGUUUUCUAAGGUUAAGAUAGAGAGCACAGAAAACCGAGAGCUAAGGGUGAUAGAGAGAUCUAGCAGGGAGUUGGGGAUUAGCAUAGGGAUUUCAAUAAGUACUUGUAAUCAGGUUGUUAUUCUCCAUAGUGCUAGUGAUCUCUCAAGAGAGAUCACAUAAGUGGACGUAGGCCAGGGUUUUGGCUGAACCACUAUAAAAUUGUGUGUGCUGUGUUUCUAUCUUCAAGUUCAUCUAUCUACUUUGCUUAAGUUGUAAAGUACCAGUAAAGACCAGAAAAGAUCCUAGGGCGCUAACCACAAUAGUAAGUGCAUUUAUAAAAUUUAUUGGAAUGAAAAGUAUGAAUCCAUGCCAUUGGGAUAUAGUCUUUGCCUUAAAAUGCAUGAAUCAUUUUGUUUUGUGCUUCCCACAAGAAAUACAUGGUGCAAAGACAAUUGAUUGAUUUAGGCUUCUGGUCAUAAUGUUGAUCGUACUAAAAGAGCAUAUGCUAUAGUAAUAUAGAAUUCAUUUACUAGUGAGGCAUGUUAUUAGCUAGCCUUUGGUUAUAAAAUUUGGUUGUUUUAUCAUUCUUUCAAUUUGACAG